This 197-nucleotide unclassified non-coding RNA is filed under the name uncultured Resupinatus. RNAcentral describes it as "sequence contains ITS2". Lineage: Eukaryota; Fungi; Basidiomycota; Agaricomycetes; Agaricales; Tricholomataceae. The record is from RNAcentral.
AAUUCUCAACCUCUAUCAGCUUGCUGGUAAAGGCUUGGAUAUGGAGGAAUGUAUGCGGGCUUUUUACAAGUCGGCUCCUCUUAAAUGCAUUAGCAGAAUCAUUGUGCUAGCUUAGGUGUGAUAAUUAUCUACGCCUUGAUGCUUUGGCAUGUCUACGAUUCGGCUUCUAAUCGUCCGCAAGGACAGCAUAUUAUGAC